GCAGUCGUGGCCGAGUGGUUAAGGCGUCUGACUAGAAAUCAGAUCCCCUCUGGGAGCGUAGGUUCGAGUCCUACCGACUGCG
RNAcentral lists this transfer RNA (82 nucleotides) under Schistocerca americana (American grasshopper). RNAcentral describes it as "tRNA-Ser". It matches the Rfam family "tRNA". From Rfam's summary of the family: Transfer RNA (tRNA) molecules are approximately 80 nucleotides in length. Their secondary structure includes four short double-helical elements and three loops (D, anti-codon, and T loops). Further hydrogen bonds mediate the characteristic L-shaped molecular structure. tRNAs have two regions of fundamental functional importance: the anti-codon, which is responsible for specific mRNA codon recognition, and the 3' end, to which the tRNAs corresponding amino acid is attached (by aminoacyl-tRNA synthetases). tRNAs cope with the degeneracy of the genetic code in two manners: having more than one tRNA (with a specific anti-codon) for a particular amino acid; and 'wobble' base-pairing, i.e. permitting non-standard base-pairing at the 3rd anti-codon position. The record is from RNAcentral. Lineage: Eukaryota; Metazoa; Arthropoda; Insecta; Orthoptera; Acrididae.